Molecule: ribosomal RNA, 466 nt
Filed under: uncultured bacterium
Lineage: Bacteria
Description: partial 16S ribosomal RNA
Rfam family: Bacterial small subunit ribosomal RNA
Source: RNAcentral
GACGAACGCUGGCGGCGUGCUUAACACAUGCAAGUCGAACGGAAAGGCCCUGCUUGCAGGGUACUCGAGUGGCGAACGGGUGAGUAACACGUGGGUGAUCUGCCCUGCACUUCGGGAUAAGCUUGGGAAACUGGGUCUAAUACCGGAUAGGAACCAUCUUUAGUGUGGUGGUUGGAAAGUUUUUUCGGUGUAGGAUGAGCUCGCGGCCUAUCAGCUUGUUGGUGGGGUAAUGGCCUACCAAGGCGGCGACGGGUAGCCGGCCUGCGAGGGUGUACGGCCACAUUGGGACUGAGAUACGGCCCAGACUCCUACGGGAGGCAGCAGUGGGGAAUAUUGCACAAUGGGCGCAAGCCUGAUGCAGCGACGCCGCGUGGGGGAUGAAGGCCUUCGGGUUGUAAACUCCUUUCGCUAGGGACGAAGCUUUGUUGUGACGGUACCUAGAUAAGAAGCACCGGCUAACUACGUG